RNAcentral lists this ribosomal RNA (571 nucleotides) under uncultured Sebacinaceae. Its description in RNAcentral is "eukaryotic LSU rRNA". The stretch from base 173 to 326 matches the Rfam family "5.8S ribosomal RNA". The record is from RNAcentral. RNAcentral also lists the same sequence under 1 other name. Lineage: Eukaryota; Fungi; Basidiomycota; Agaricomycetes; Sebacinales; Sebacinaceae.
UAGUGAUUAUGAAGGGUUGCCUUCUGUGCUGGCUGCGGCAAGUGCACGAUGGUGGCUUUCAUCCAACACCCUGUGAACCUCUGGCCUCUUGCUGGCUUCGGCUGGCGGAGGAUUUACACAAACUCGCAUGUAUUGAGGACCCUUCAUGUGCGCAAGCACUAAUAAUAUAUACAACUUUCAACAACGGAUCUCUUGGCUCUCGCAUCGAUGAAGAACGCAGCGAAAUGCGAUAAGUAAUGUGAAUUGCAGAAUUCAGUGAAUCAUCGAAUCUUUGAACGCACCUUGCACCCUUUGGCAUUCCGAAGGGUAUGCUCGUUUGAGUGUCAUUGUACUCUCACACUCCCAAUUGCUUUGGAUUGGGAGCGGUGGACUUGGGUGUUGCUGCUUGACUGAGGCUCACCUGAAAUAUGUUAGUGCACCUCUUGAUUGGACAUAGUACGGCGUGAUAAGUGUCUUCGCCGGCUCCUCGCAAAGAGGGUGGCCGAUCGGGAGCUCUGUUGCUUCAAACUGUCUUCGGACAAUCUUCUGGCGACUUGACCUCAAAUCGAGUAGGACUACCCGCUGAACUUAA